Molecule: transfer RNA, 84 nt
Filed under: Echinostoma caproni
Lineage: Eukaryota; Metazoa; Platyhelminthes; Trematoda; Plagiorchiida; Echinostomatidae
Rfam family: tRNA
About the family: Transfer RNA (tRNA) molecules are approximately 80 nucleotides in length. Their secondary structure includes four short double-helical elements and three loops (D, anti-codon, and T loops).
Source: Rfam by way of RNAcentral
GACCUCGUAGCUUAGCUGGUAGAGCGUGCGUUGUAAAGAAGCGUAGGCGGUGUUCAUGCGUGGGUUCGAAUCCCACCGACCUUA